CAGUAGCUGAGUGGAUGACGCGAUGGCGUUUGAAGCAAAAGGUACUGGGUUCGAAUCCCAGAGUGAA
Molecule: transfer RNA, 67 nt
Filed under: Schistosoma mansoni
Lineage: Eukaryota; Metazoa; Platyhelminthes; Trematoda; Strigeidida; Schistosomatidae
Source: RNAcentral